RNAcentral lists this long non-coding RNA (809 nucleotides) under Salmo salar (Atlantic salmon). RNAcentral's name for it is "lncRNA (ENSSSAG00000103359.1)". The record is from RNAcentral. Lineage: Eukaryota; Metazoa; Chordata; Actinopteri; Salmoniformes; Salmonidae.
UCAGAGGUGAUUUCAAAGUUCUGAGACCUGAUUGAGAAGCUGAAGAAGGACGUGUACGCCGUGAUGCGCCUGGAGAGAGAGGAGAGGGCCAUGGCCUACACGGAGGCUCAGUGUGGCACAGAAGCAGCUAGCACAGAACGCAGAUGAGACAGACCCCCAGAGGACGUGGUUCAAAAUGCACGAUGAGCGCAAGAAAGACUGCAUGGCCAAAGCUCUGGCGGACUUUGACUUGGCCCUAAGGGGAAAGAAGAGUGAGAAGUUCAUCAAAGAGGGGAAAAAGAAAGAUUUAUCGUCUGAGGACAGAGCCCAGUUUGAGAUCCUCAAGUCCCAGAUGUACGCCGAGUGAGCAGCCAAGAGGGACCGCACACCUAAACGAGCCAGGGCCAUGCCAGAGGAUGAGCCUGUCCAGAAAGGCCCAUCCCUCCCCCGUGUCAUCGAUGGCCAGCCAGCGUAUACGGUGAGACGCCUCCUGAGGGUUCGACCACGGGGCAGGGGUUUCCAGUACCUGGUUGACUGGGAGGGUUGCUGUCACUUCCUGAUCUGUUUCACCUGUCCUUGUGAUUGUCUCUACCCCCUCUAGGUGUCGCUUAUUUUCCCUGGUGUAUGUAUCCCUGUGUUUCCUGUCUCUCUGUGCCAGUUCGUCUUGUCAAGUCAACCAGUGUUUUGACCAUUGCCUGCCCUGACUCUGUACCCGUAUGCUUGACUAUUCUGCCUGCCCUGACCUCGAGCCUGCCUGCCUGCCUGGACUAUGACCUUGUUAUGAACUUUUUACCUGUACACGACCAUUAUCUUGCCUGCCCCUUGGAUCC